AUUUUUCCUCCCCUCCCCUCCCCCUCUUAAGUGGAUCUCUAAAACACAGCAUUAAUCUGCCACACACACAUUCUCCAUCCCUUUCACUCUAGUCUUUUGGAUUCAAAUACACACAAACCCUAAAUUUUGAGCAUUAACAGCCUCAACAAGCAAUCCCCUCGCCCCGCUCUCUCUACCUUAAUAAACAAUCGGCAGAAUGGUGGUCGUGGUCGGAUGCUGCCGGUGGUGGAGCGUAGGAGAUUGACGGCGAUAUCGGGGUGAACUGUGGUGUUCGUUGAGGAGGUUAGAGGAGGUGAGGCAUUGGGCGUGGGUGAAGGUGUUUGCUGGCGGCUCUUGGUGGUGUACGGAAAACCCUAGAUAACACAAGAGGUUCCGGUUUCAGAACUUGUUUUCCACCAUCGCACACUAGCCUCGUUGCUAUAGCCGUCGUCCCCUGAACCAACGUCUGAUGUCGUUUUUACGGCCGUCUCUGUGAUUAAGUAUACAAGCUUCUGGAGAACAUUGAUGUAUCAGAAGUAAGAAUGGAACAUUUAAGAUCUGCACUUGAAAAAGUGCAGCUAUCAGAUGCGGAUUUUACCCUUCAAGCUACCGCAAAAGAUGUUUAGUCUCUAAACCGUCCUAAAAAAAGCAACCUCGGUUUCUAGUUGGUUGAAGCUUCAGAGCUCUCACUCGAUCUUGCCAAGAUGACACCUGGCAUACGACAAGCUGCACAAGUUCUGUUUGCUCAAUAUGUAGCUAGAGAUGCAGAAGUGGUAAUUUAAUAGCAUUCUUUCCUUUGGUUAGAAAGGCUAGCUAUCCUCAAGCAUGCUUAAUGCAUGCUCACUUUGCCAAGGUCACAAUGAUUUCAUCACUUGCAGCUGCUUGCUCAUCAGAUGGAGUCCUAGUUCUGUUCAUAAAAGACAGAUACUUUCAUACCACAGCAUAGGAAUAGAUCUUAGCUUAUGUGUACACUCAUAUCCCUUUGCAACUUUUGUUGAUAGCUUUUUUGGAUUAGAAGUUUUUGUCUUUAAUAUUCAAAUUGAAAACUUAUGUAUGAAUUUGGCUUAUUGUUAAAAACUUAUGUAUGAUAUUAUGGAUAUGGUUUUAUUAUUGUUAA
Long non-coding RNA from Helianthus annuus (common sunflower), 1096 nucleotides. RefSeq lists it as uncharacterized. The record is from RefSeq and is a predicted model, not a curated record. Lineage: Eukaryota; Viridiplantae; Streptophyta; Magnoliopsida; Asterales; Asteraceae. The transcript is spliced from 6 exons.